UGCUACUAUAAUGAGAGCGGCGUACGGGUGCGUAACACGUGUGCAACCUGCCUUUAUCUGGGGGAUAGCCUUUCGAAAGGAAGAUUAAUACCCCAUAAUAUAUUGAUUGGCAUCAAUUAAUAUUGAAAGCUCCGGCGGAUAGAGAUGGGCACGCGUAAGAUUAGCUAGUUGGUGAGGUAACGGCUCACCAAGGCUGCGAUCUUUAGGGGGCCUGAGAGAGUGAUCCCCCACACUGGUACUGAGACACGGACCAGACUCCUACGGGAGGCAGCAGUGAGGAAUAUUGGACAAUGGGUGAAAGCCUGAUCCAGCCAUCCCGCGUGAAGGACUAAGGACCUAUGGUUUGUAAACUUCUUUUAUACAGGGAUAAACCUACUCUCGUGAGGGUAGCUGAAGGUACUGUAUGAAUAAGCACCGGCUAACUCCGUGCCAGCAGCCGCGGUAAUACGGAGGGUGCAAGCGUUAUCCGGAUUUAUUGGGUUUAAAGGGUCCGUAGGCGGGUCGAUAAGUCAGUGGUGAAAGCCUGCAGCUUAACUGUAGAACUGCCGUUGAUACUGUCGGUCUUGAGUGUAUUUGAGGUAGCUGGAAUGAGUAGUGUAGCGGUGAAAUGCAUAGAUAUUACUCAGAACACCAAUUGCGAAGGCAGGUUACCAAGUUACAACUGACGCUGAUGGACGAAAGCGUGGGGAGCGAACAGGAUUAGAUACCCUGGUAGUCCACGCUGUAAACGAUGCUAACUCGUUUUUGGGGUAUUAU
RNAcentral lists this ribosomal RNA (756 nucleotides) under uncultured bacterium. Its description in RNAcentral is "bacterial SSU rRNA". It matches the Rfam family "Bacterial small subunit ribosomal RNA", at positions 79 to 834 of the family's 1533-position model. The record is from RNAcentral.